GACGAACGCUGGCGGCGUGCCUAAUACAUGCAAGUUGAGUGCUGAAGGUUGGUACUUGUACCAACUGGAUGAGCAGCGAACGGGUGAGUAACGCGUGGGGAAUCUGCCCUUGAGCGGGGGACAACAUUUGGAAACGAAUGCUAAUACCGCAUAAAAACUUUAAACACAAGUUUUAAGUUUGAAAGAUGCAAUUGCAUCACUCAAAGAUGAUCCCGCGUUGUAUUAGCUAGUUGGUGAGGUAAAGGCUCACCAAGGCGAUGAUACAUAGCCGACCUGAGAGGGUGAUCGGCCACAUUGGGACUGAGACACGGCCCAAACUCCUACGGGAGGCAGCAGUAGGGAAUCUUCGGCAAUGGACGAAAGUCUGACCGAGCAACGCCGCGUGAGUGAAGAAGGUUUUCGGAUCGUAAAACUCUGUUGGUAGAGAAGAACGUUGGUGAGAGUGGAAAGCUCAUCAAGUGACGGUAACUACCCAGAAAGGGACGGCUAACUACGUG
Molecule: ribosomal RNA, 497 nt
Filed under: uncultured bacterium
Lineage: Bacteria
Description: partial 16S ribosomal RNA
Rfam family: Bacterial small subunit ribosomal RNA
Source: RNAcentral